AUGGCGGCUGCACCAUCAUCUGCCCGCAUUCCCAUCAUCAUCCUCCUCCUACUGCUAGCACUCUCUGUCGUCUCUGCUUCCUCCUUCUCUUCGAGUCCAGCCAACGGCAGUGACACGGACCUCUCAGCGCUGCUGGCUUUCAAGGCCGCGCUCAUCGACCCUCGUGGUGUCCUUGCCGGCAACUGGACCGGCACGUCCUUCUGCCACUGGAUAGGAGUCUCGUGCAGCCACCGGCGGCAGCGCGUCACGGCUCUAACGUUGUUAGACACGCCUCUUUCUGGACAUAUUGCUCCCCACCUUGGUAAUCUCUCUUUCCUCUCUGUUCUUGAUCUCACUGGUAACAACCUUACGGGUUCCAUCCCGCCAGAGCUUGGCAGGCUACACCGACUUAGAUAUCUCCGUCUUAGAGAAAAUAGCCUGUCAGAUGGCAUUCCUGUUGUCCUAGGGAACCUCACAAGGCUUGAGGUCCUUAAUCUAGCUCUUCACCAACUCUCUGAACUGGAUGAGGCUACGGACUGGGACUUGGCCACCGUUUCCACUCGAGCCACCAUCACCGGGUGCGACUCCAACCAUUGCUCGGCCGCGGCCCCGCCGUGCCGGCGCUUCUCCAACCUGCCGCUGUGGCUGCGGCCCCGCGUCACCGCUUCGUUGCUCCCAUCGAAGACCGGCGUCGCCUCUCCCUUUUGCUACCGCUCCACCCGGUCGUGGGUCGUUGAACCGUCAGGUUCCCCCGGGCUGCAUGGGCCCUCUGCUCCGGUUUGCUCUCUGCGGGGUCGUCUCGCCGGUCUGAUUCCUCUGUUGCAAGCCGCAUCCUCCACUACAAACCACCUCGUCGGGUUAACUGCAACGCCCACCAUGUUCCUCCCGCUGACUCACCGACGUCACUGCGGGUCAUCGUCCUUUGCCCUGCGAUGUUGCGGGUUCCCGCGGGUUGUCGUUGGUCGCACCUCCGCGGGCCUCAUCAGCUCACCGGUUCACUGCUGCAGCCCGCAUGGAUCAUGCGUCGAACCGGAGCAUCUGAUUCUACCGGCUGCUGUCGAGCCGUCGUCGCCUUCACUAGUUUCUGCAGCUGUGACAUGCCUUCUCUUUGGGCCGCUACCUCUAUCAAUCCGGCUGUCACGGCCGAUUCACAACGGCAAAAAGUCGUCAGAAUAUGAUCAUGUUCAUCUAGAAGAAGAGAAUCUGCUCAUGUUUGCUUCUGCUGUGGUUUGCCUCGCCGUCUGCCAUUGCCUCCGUGGCCAGGUUACGCCGCGCAUUGCUGCCGCUUUAAAAUGA
This 1275-nucleotide ribosomal RNA is filed under the name Triticum aestivum (bread wheat). Its description in RNAcentral is "partial small subunit ribosomal RNA". Lineage: Eukaryota; Viridiplantae; Streptophyta; Magnoliopsida; Poales; Poaceae. The record is from RNAcentral.